UUUUUAUUUUGAGUUAUUUCCCCCCCCUUAGCAAAAUAUAGGGGGCGCGGGGCACCGAAAACACAACAGCUACCAGGCAAGCAAAAAAAACGAGUUAACCCAACCUGCGGGGGACAAAAAAGGCGUCCAGCGGCGGACGGGUGAGUAAUCCCUAGGAAAUUCCCCUGAUGUGGGGGAUAACCAUUGGAAAAGAGGGCUAACACCCCAUAAUCCCUACGGGCCAAAAAGGGGGACCUUCGGGCCUCUCGCCCCAGGAUACCCCUAGGGGGGAUUACCAAGUUGGGGAGGGAAUGGCUCACCAAGGCGACGAUCCCUAGCGGGUCUGAAAGGAUGAUCAGCCAAACUGGAACUGAGACACGGUCCAGACUCCUACGGGAGCAAGCAGUGGGGAAUAUGGCACAAUGGGCGCAACCCUAAUCAACCCAUCCCGCGUGUGGAAAGAAGCCCUUCGGGUUGUAAAGCACUUUCAGUCGUGAGGAAGGUGGGGUAGUUAAUAGCUCCAUUAUUUGACGUUAGCGACAGAAGAAGCACCGGCUAACUCCGUGCCAGCAGCCGCGGUAAUACGGAGGGUGCGAGCGUUAAUCGGAAUUACUGGGCGUAAAGCGCAUGCAGGUGGUUUGUUAAGUCAGAUGUGAAAGCCCGGGGCUCAACCUCGGAAUAGCAUUUGAAACUGGCAGACUAGAGUACUGUAGAGGGGGGUAGAAUUUCAGGUGUAGCGGUGAAAUGCGUAGAGAUCUGAAGGAAUACCGGUGGCGAAGGCGGCCCCCUGGACAGAUACUGACACUCAGAUGCGAAAGCGUGGGGAGCAAACAGGAUUAGAUACCCUGGUAGUCCACGCCGUAAACGAUGUCUACUUGGAGGUUGUGGCCUUGAGCCGUGGCUUUCGGAGCUAACGCGUUAAGUAGACCGCCUGGGGAGUACGGUCGCAAGAUUAAAACUCAAAUGAAUUGACGGGGGCCCGCACAAGCGGUGGAGCAUGUGGUUUAAUUCGAUGCAACGCGAAAAACCUUACCUACUCUUGACAUCCAGAAAACUUUCCAAAAAUGGAUUGGUGCCUUCGGGAACCUGAAAAAAGGGCUGAAUGGCUUCCUCAACCCGGUUGGGAAAAGUUGGGUUAAGUCCCAACAAGCGCAACCUUAUCCUUGUUUGCCGCCAGUAAUGGCGGGAACUCCAGGGAACUGCCCGGGAAAAACCGGAGAAAGGGGGGGACACGUCAAGCAUCAUGGCCCUUACAAGAAAGGCUACAACCGGCUACAAUGGGCAUAAAAAGGGACCAACUACCGUAAGGAGCGAAUCCCAAAAAGUGCGUCGUAGUCCGGAUUGGAGUCUGCAACUCGACUCCAUGAAGUCGGAAUCGCUAGUAAUCGUGGAUCAGAAUGCCACGGUGAAUACGUUCCCGGGCCUUGUACACACCGCCCGUCACACCAUGGGAGGGGCUGCAAAAGAAGUAGGUAGUUUAACCUUCGGGAGGACGCUUACCACUUUGGUUAAGGGGGG
RNAcentral lists this ribosomal RNA (1497 nucleotides) under Vibrio owensii. RNAcentral's name for it is "partial 16S ribosomal RNA". It matches the Rfam family "Bacterial small subunit ribosomal RNA". The record is from RNAcentral. Lineage: Bacteria; Pseudomonadati; Pseudomonadota; Gammaproteobacteria; Vibrionales; Vibrionaceae.